CAAUAGCGUAUAUUAAAGUUGUUGCGGUUAAAAAGCUCGUAGUUGGAUCUCGGCAGGCAGGGGGUGGUUCGCUCUUAGCGCUACUGCCCCAUUUGCCUAUGUGAUUGGCGGAGGUUUCGGGGUGCUCUUCGUUGAGUGACCCGGGGCGCCGUCAGGUUUACUUUGAAAAAAUUAGAGUGCUCAAAGCAGGCUUUUCACGCUUGAAUAUUCGUGCAUGGAAUAAUGGAAUAGGAACUCGUUUCUAUUUUGUUGGUUUUCGGAAAUCGAGUUAAUGAUUAAUAGGGACAAUUGGGGGCAUUAGUAUUCAGACGACAGAGGUGAAAUUCUUGGACCGUCUGAAGACUAACUACUGCGAAAGCAUUUGCCAAGAGUGUUUUCAUUAA
Molecule: ribosomal RNA, 383 nt
Filed under: uncultured eukaryote
Lineage: Eukaryota
Description: partial 18S ribosomal RNA
Rfam family: Eukaryotic small subunit ribosomal RNA
Source: RNAcentral